CACGUAGGCGGAUACUUAAGUCAGGGGUGAAAUCCCGGGGCUCAACCCCGGAACUGCCUUUGAUACUGGGUAUCUCGAGUCCGGAAGAGGUGAGUGGAAUUCCGAGUGUAGAGGUGAAAUUCGUAGAUAUUCGGAGGAACACCAGUGGCGAAGGCGGCUCACUGGUCCGGUACUGACGCUGAGGUGCGAAAGCGUGGGGAGCAAACA
Molecule: ribosomal RNA, 207 nt
Filed under: uncultured bacterium
Lineage: Bacteria
Description: partial 16S ribosomal RNA
Rfam family: Bacterial small subunit ribosomal RNA
Source: RNAcentral